This 216-nucleotide ribosomal RNA is filed under the name Glomeromycotina sp. RNAcentral's name for it is "partial small subunit ribosomal RNA". The stretch from base 40 to 216 matches the Rfam family "Eukaryotic small subunit ribosomal RNA", at positions 686 to 864 of the family's 1831-position model. Lineage: Eukaryota; Fungi; Glomeromycota. The record is from RNAcentral.
GGGUCAGUAGGUUUGUCGGGCCACCGGUACGUACUGGUCUCACUGAUUCCUCCUUCCUGAAGAACCGUAAUGCCAUUAAUUUGGUGUUGCGGGGAAACAGGACUGUUACUUUGAAAAAAUUAGAGUGUUUAAAGCAAGCUAACGCUUGAAUACAUUAGCAUGGAAUAAUGAAAUAGGACGAUCGAUCCUAUUUUGUUGGUUUCUAGGAUUGACGUA